RNAcentral lists this ribosomal RNA (805 nucleotides) under uncultured bacterium. RNAcentral's name for it is "bacterial SSU rRNA". It matches the Rfam family "Bacterial small subunit ribosomal RNA", at positions 8 to 833 of the family's 1533-position model. The record is from RNAcentral.
AGAGUUUGAUCCUGGCUCAGGAUGAACGCUGGCGGCGCGCCUAACACAUGCAAGUCGAACGGCACCCAUCUUCGGAUGGAAGCGAGUGGCGAACGGCUGAGUAACACGUGGAGAACCUGCCCCCUCCCCCGGGAUAGCCGCCCGAAAGGACGGGUAAUACCGGAUACCCCGGGGUGCCGCAUGGCACCCCGGCUAAAGCCCCGACGGGAGGGGAUGGCUCCGCGGCCCAUCAGGUAGACGGCGGGGUGACGGCCCACCGUGCCGACAACGGGUAGCCGGGUUGAGAGACCGACCGGCCAGAUUGGGACUGAGACACGGCCCAGACUCCUACGGGAGGCAGCAGUGGGGAAUCUUGCGCAAUGGGGGGAACCCUGACGCAGCGACGCCGCGUGCGGGACGGAGGCCUUCGGGUCGUAAACCGCUUUCAGCAGGGAAGAGUCAAGACUGUACCUGCAGAAGAAGCCCCGGCUAACUACGUGCCAGCAGCCGCGGUAAUACGUAGGGGGCGAGCGUUAUCCGGAUUCAUUGGGCGUAAAGCGCGCGUAGGCGGCCCGGCAGGCCGGGGGUCGAAGCGGGGGGCUCAACCCCCCGAAGCCCCCGGAACCUCCGCGGCUUGGGUCCGGUAGGGGAGGGUGGAACACCCGGUGUAGCGGUGGAAUGCGCAGAUAUCGGGUGGAACACCGGUGGCGAAGGCGGCCCUCUGGGCCGAGACCGACGCUGAGGCGCGAAAGCUGGGGGAGCGAACAGGAUUAGAUACCCUGGUAGUCCCAGCCGUAAACGAUGGACGCUAGGUGUGGGGGGACGA